Babesia bovis is the source of this 76-nucleotide non-coding RNA. The record is from Rfam. NCBI's taxonomy places the organism in Eukaryota, Apicomplexa, Aconoidasida, Piroplasmida, Babesiidae.
GUCAAAAUAGCUCACUAACGGCUAGAGUGUUGGUUUGAAGGACCAAAGGUAAUCAGUUCGAAUCUGAUUUUUGACA